This 321-nucleotide ribosomal RNA is filed under the name Triticum aestivum (bread wheat). Its description in RNAcentral is "partial small subunit ribosomal RNA". Lineage: Eukaryota; Viridiplantae; Streptophyta; Magnoliopsida; Poales; Poaceae. The record is from RNAcentral.
CUAUUUGGCGGUCAAGCAUCCGACACUGAUAGCACGGACCUCGAUGAACCCGUAGAAUCCUCCAACACGGGAUCUAUCGACCUAGAUCCUUUCGACUAUGUCUACUCGAACAUCCCAGACAGCACGCACAUCCUGAAGCACGCGGCAAACUGCGACCAUUGCAAGGCCAAGAAGUUCCAGUACGAGACUAACGGCUUCUGCUGUCGGAACGGGGAGAUUGAGCUAGCUGAACGCGAGCCUAUCCCAGAGCUGAUGAGGUUAUGGUCAAGCGCGGAUGCAGACUCUCAGCAUUUCCGAGAGAGCAUUCGGUUCUUCAAUGGG